UACGUAGGGGGCAAGCGUUGUCCGGAAUCAUUGGGCGUAAAGAGCGUGUAGGCGGCCCGAUAAGUCCGCUGUGAAAGUCCAGGGCUCCAACCCUGGAAUGCCGGUGGAUACGUGUCGGCUCGAAUCCGGAAGAGGUGAGUGGAAUUCCUGGUGUAGCGGUGAAAUGCGCAGAUAUCAGGAGGAACACCAAUGGCGAAGGCAGCUCGCUGGGACGUGACUGACGCUGAGACGCGAAAGCGUGGGGAGCAAACGGG
RNAcentral lists this ribosomal RNA (254 nucleotides) under uncultured bacterium. RNAcentral describes it as "partial 16S ribosomal RNA". It matches the Rfam family "Bacterial small subunit ribosomal RNA", at positions 524 to 776 of the family's 1533-position model. The record is from RNAcentral.